UUUACUUUGAAACUGCGAAUGGCUCAUUAUAUCAGUUAUAGUUUAUUUGAUAGUCCCUCACUACUUGGAUAACCGUAGUAAUUCUAGAGCUAAUACAUGCAUCAACGCCUGACGUAAGAAAGGCUGUAUUUAUUAGAUUGAAACCUUCUGUCUUUGACAAGUAAUGGUGAUUCAUAAUAACUUUGCGAAUCGCAUGGCAUUUGCUGGCGAUAGAUGAAAAAAGCUUCUGCCCUUUUAGCUUUGAUGGUAGUGUAUUGGACUACCAUGGCAGUGAUGGGUAACGGAGAAUUAGGGUUUGAUUCCGGAGAGGUGGCCUGAGAGACGGCCUCCACAUCCAAGGAAGGCAGCAGGCGCGUAAAUUACCCAAUUUCGACACGAAGAGGUAGUAACGAUAAAUAACGAUGCCGGGAUCGCAAGAUUCUGGCAAUUGGAAUGAGAACAAUUUAAAUCCCUUAUCAAGGAUCAAUUGGAGGGCAAGUCUGGUGCCAGCAGCCGCGGUAAUUCCAGCUCCAAUAGCGUAUAUUAAAGUUGUUGCAGUUAAAAAGCUCGUAGUCGGAUUUCUGGUUGAAGGGAUCUGUCUUGCCUAACGGCAAGAACUGUGUCCCUUUGACCAUCCUUGGACAGAUCCUACCUGGUAUUAACUUAUUGGGUUGGCUAAGUUCAACACUUACUGUGAGAAAAUUAAGGUGUUCAAAGCAGGCUUAUGCCUGAAUAUAUUAGCAUGGAAUAACAAUAUAGGACCUCGGUACUAUUUUGUUGGUUUGCGCACUGGGGUAAUGGUCAAUAGGGACAGUUUGUGGGUAUUGGUAUUCCAGUGUCAGAGGUGAAAUUCUUAAAUUACUGGAAGACUAACUACUGCGAAAGCAUUUACCAAGGAUGUUUUCAUUGAUCAAGAACGAAAGUUAGGGGAUCGAAGAUGAUUAGAUACCAUCGUAGUCUUAACCAUAAACUAUGCCAACUCUGGAUGGGUGAGUGUCUCUUGACUUCAUCUGCACAGUAUGAGAAAUCAAAGUCUUUGGGUUCCGGGGGGAGUAUGGUCGCAAGACUGAAACUUAAAGAAAUUGACGGGAGGGCACCACCAGUAGUGGAACCUGCGGCUUAAUUUGACUCAACACGGGAAAACUUAUCAGGUCCAGACAUAGUGAGGAUUGACAGAUUGAGAGCUCUUUCUUGAUUCUAUGGGUGGUGGUGCAUGGCCGUUUUUAGUUGGUGGAGUGAUUUGUCUGGUUAAUUCCGUUAACGAACGAGACCUCAGCCUGCUAAAUAAUAUGGUUAAUAACUUUAUUGAUCAUGUUUCUUAGAGGGACAUGGAAUUAUCAAAUUCCCGGAAGAGUGAGGCAACAACAGGUCUGUGAUGCCCUUAGAUGUUCUGGGCUGCACGCGUGUUACAAUGACACAUUCAACGAGCUCUUCCUUGGCCGAGAGGCCUGGGUAAUCUUUUAAACGUGUGUCGUGUUAGGGAUCGAUUAUUGCAAUUAUUAAUCGUGAACGAGGAAUUCCUAGUAAACGCAGAUCAUCAAUCUGCAUUGAUUACGUCCCUGCCCUCUGUACACACCGCCCGUCGCAUCUAUCGAUUGGAUGGUCCGGUGAAAUCUCGGGAUUGUGAAUCUAUCUUCGGACGGAUUUGCGAGAACUUGCUUGAACCUUAUCAUCUAGAGAAAG
RNAcentral lists this ribosomal RNA (1662 nucleotides) under Bacteriastrum elegans. RNAcentral describes it as "SSU rRNA". It matches the Rfam family "Eukaryotic small subunit ribosomal RNA". Lineage: Eukaryota; Bacillariophyta; Thalassiosirophyceae; Chaetocerotales; Chaetocerotaceae. The record is from RNAcentral.